This is a small nucleolar RNA of Apodemus sylvaticus (European woodmouse), 136 nucleotides long. RefSeq annotates it as small nucleolar RNA SNORA17. The record is from RefSeq and is a predicted model, not a curated record. NCBI's taxonomy places the organism in Eukaryota, Metazoa, Chordata, Mammalia, Rodentia, Muridae. The transcript has a single exon.
CCUGUCUGGAAAGCUAGAGGCUUUGCAGAUGUGUCUGCUGUAUCACGUGUGCCUCCGUAGGUGACAGAGAGGAAAGAGUCUAUGUCUCCACUGUGUUCUGACCUGUGAACAUCUCAACAGUGAGCAUCCUAACCGU